UACGAAGGGGGCUAGCGUUGUUCGGAAUUACUGGGCGUAAAGCGCACGUAGGCGGAUACUUAAGUCAGGGGUGAAAUCCCGGGGCUCAACCCCGGAACUGCCUUUGAUACUGGGUAUCUCGAGUCCGGAAGAGGUGAGUGGAAUUCCGAGUGUAGAGGUGGAAUUCGUAGAUAUUCGGAGGAACACCAGUGGCGAAGGCGGCUCACUGGUCCGGUACUGACGCUGAGGUGCGAAAGCGUGGGGAGCAAACAGG
This 253-nucleotide ribosomal RNA is filed under the name uncultured bacterium. RNAcentral describes it as "partial 16S ribosomal RNA". It matches the Rfam family "Bacterial small subunit ribosomal RNA", at positions 524 to 776 of the family's 1533-position model. The record is from RNAcentral.